Molecule: transfer RNA, 73 nt
Filed under: Microbacterium sp.
Lineage: Bacteria; Bacillati; Actinomycetota; Actinomycetes; Micrococcales; Microbacteriaceae
Also listed under: 14 other names
Description: tRNA-Thr
Rfam family: tRNA
About the family: Transfer RNA (tRNA) molecules are approximately 80 nucleotides in length. Their secondary structure includes four short double-helical elements and three loops (D, anti-codon, and T loops).
Source: RNAcentral
GCCCUCUUAGCUCAGUCGGUAGAGCACCUCCAUGGUAAGGAGGGGGUCGACGGUUCGAGUCCGUCAGAGGGCU